RNAcentral lists this ribosomal RNA (211 nucleotides) under uncultured Comamonas sp. RNAcentral's name for it is "partial 16S ribosomal RNA". It matches the Rfam family "Bacterial small subunit ribosomal RNA", at positions 1172 to 1382 of the family's 1533-position model. The record is from RNAcentral. Lineage: Bacteria; Pseudomonadati; Pseudomonadota; Betaproteobacteria; Burkholderiales; Comamonadaceae.
GGUGGGGAUGACGUCAAGUCCUCAUGGCCCUUAUAGGUGGGGCUACACACGUCAUACAAUGGCUGGUACAAAGGGUUGCCAACCCGCGAGGGGGAGCCAAUCCCAUAAAGCCAGUCGUAGUCCGGAUCGCAGUCUGCAACUCGACUGCGUGAAGUCGGAAUCGCUAGUAAUCGUGGAUCAGCAUGUCACGGUGAAUACGUUCCCGGGUCUU